This 3081-nucleotide ribosomal RNA is filed under the name Triticum aestivum (bread wheat). Its description in RNAcentral is "partial small subunit ribosomal RNA". Lineage: Eukaryota; Viridiplantae; Streptophyta; Magnoliopsida; Poales; Poaceae. The record is from RNAcentral.
AUGAGGAUCAUGAUCAAGGGCGGGGUGUGGAAGAACACCGAGGACGAGAUCCUCAAGGCGGCCGUGAUGAAGUACGGCAAGAACCAGUGGGCGCGCAUCUCCUCGCUGCUCGUCCGCAAGUCCGCCAAGCAGUGCAAGGCCCGCUGGUACGAGUGGCUCGACCCCUCCAUCAAGAAGACUGAGUGGACAAGGGAAGAGGAUGAGAAGCUGCUCCAUCUUGCUAAGCUCAUGCCUACUCAAUGGAGGACUAUUGCACCUAUCGUGGGUCGAACACCAUCCCAGUGCCUCGAGCGUUAUGAAAAAUUGCUCGAUGCUGCCUGUGCAAAGGAUGAGAAUUAUGAGCCUAAUGAUGACCCAAGAAAGUUGCGACCUGGGGAGAUUGAUCCAAACCCCGAGUCAAAACCUGCACGUCCGGAUCCUGUUGACAUGGAUGAAGAUGAAAAGGAAAUGCUUUCUGAGGCAAGGGCUCGCUUGGCUAACACCAGGGGUAAAAAGGCAAAACGGAAGGCAAGAGAGAAACAGCUUGAAGAGGCGAGGCGGCUUGCAUCACUGCAAAAAAGGAGAGAACUGAAGGCAGCUGGUAUUGACAACCGGCACAAGAAAAGGAAGAGAAAGGGAAUUGACUAUAAUGCUGAGAUCCCUUUUGAAAAGAGACCCCCUCCAGGCUUUUAUGAUACAGUGGGUGAGGACAGGCCACUUGAGCAUGUGCAGUUUCCAACUACCAUCGAGGAGCUUGAAGGGAGGAGACGAGUGGAUGUAGAGGCUCAGUUAAGAAAGCAAGACAUUGCCAAGAACAAGAUUCUGCAGAGGCAGGAUGCCCCUGCCGCAAUAAUGCAAGCAAAUAAACUCAAUGACCCAGAAGCUGUCACAAGAAGGUCCAAACUAAUGCUUCCACCACCCCAAAUUUCUGAUAUUGAAUUGGAGGAGAUUGCUAAGAUGGGCAAUGCUGGCGAUCCUGCUCUAGCCGAGGAGCUUGGUGAAGGAAGUACUGCUACUAGGACACUGCUUGCAAAUUAUUCCCAGACUCCAAGGCUUGGUAUGACACCAUUGCGAACCCCGCAACGAACGCCAGGUGGGAAAGGUGAUGCUAUUAUGAUGGAGGCAGAGAAUCUUGCACGUCUAAGGGAAUCACAAACACCUCUUUUAGGAGGCGAUAACCCAGAGCUUCAUCCAUCAGAUUUCUCUGGCGUUACACCACGUAAGAAAGAGAUGCAGACUCCAAAUCCCAUGGCAACACCUCUGGCUAGCCCUGGCCCUGGUGUUACCCCAAGGAUUGGUAUGACACCGUCCAGAGAUGGAAAUUCCUUUGGGUUAACUCCAAAAGGGACCCCCUUCAGGGAUGAGCUUCACAUAAAUGAAGAGGUGGAAAUGCAAGACAGCGCACAGCUUGAGCUUCGUCGGCAAGCAGAGUUAAGAAAAGGUCUGCGAUCUGGUUUUGCUUCUAUUCCACAGCCUAAGAAUGAGUACCAGAUAGUUAUGCCACCUAUCACAGAGGAGAACGAAGAAUCUGAAGAGAAAAUUGAGGAAGAUAUGUCAGACAGGUUAGCACGAGAAAGGGCCGAGGAACAAGCAAGGCAGGAGGCAUUGCUCAGAAAGAGGUCCAAAGUGUUGCAGAGGAGUUUGCCUAGGCCACCUGCGGCUUCAGUGGAGAUUCUCCGGCAGUCUCUGAUUAAAGGUGGUGAAAGCAGAAGUACCUUUGUGCCUCCUACAUCACUUGAACAAGCUGUUGAGCUAAUAAAUGAGGAGCUCCUUAGGCUCCUUGAGCAUGAUAAUGCUAAAUAUCCGCUUGAUGAACAGAUUCAGAGAGAUAAAAAGAAAGGAAGCAAGCGUCAGGCAAACACAGCAGCUUUCGUCUCUGAAAUCGAAGGUUUCGAUGAGCAUGAACUAAAAGAGGCAAGUUCUAUGGUUGAGGAGGAGAUUCAGUAUCUUCGUGUGGCCAUGGGCCAUGAAAAUGAAUCUUUUGAGGAUUUUGUAAAGUCACAUGAUGCAUGCCAAGAGGACCUUAUGUUUUUCCCUACUAACAACAGCUAUGGUCUUGCUAGUGUUGCUGGAAAUGCUGAUAAAAUUUCUGCCUUGCAACAUGAGUUUGAAAUGGUGAAGAAGAGAAUGGAUGACGAAGCAAAGAAGGCUUCUCGGCUUGAGCAGAAGAUCAAGCUGCUGACACAAGGUUACCAGGCGCGGGCUGCAAAAUUGGGGUCACAGAUCCAGGACACCUUCAAGCAGAUGAAUACUGCGGCAACAGAACUUGAAUGCUUCCAAGAGUUGCAGAAACAAGAACAGAUGGCUGGUGCCUAUCGUGUGAGAAAUUUGGCUGAAGAAGUGAAUAAACAGAAGGCACUGGAACAGACUCUCCAAAGCCGCUAUGGUGAUCUGUUGUCUGGUUACCAGAGCAUCCAAGGACAACUUGAGGAGCACAAGAGGCUACUUAACCUACAGAAGGAGGCAAUAGAGGCAGAAAACCGUGCCAAGGAGGAGGAAGCUGCAGCUCAAAAUCGCGCCAAGGAAGAGGAAGCUGCAGCUCAAAGUCGUGCCAAGGAGGAAGCUGCAGCUCAAAAUCGCGCCAAGGAGGAGGAAGCUGCAGCUUUAAAUUGCGGCAAGGUGGAGGAAGCUUCAGCUCAAGAUGGUGCUGCUGAGGAAGAAAAUGAGAGGAAGAAUCACGGCAUUGAAGAGGAAUCAGGACAGACCAGGGUUGCCAAUGAAGAAGCUGCAGGAAGCAAAGAAAUCAUCGGGGAUCAGAUGGAUGUGGACAACGCAGAUGCAGCUGGAGAACUUGUAGGUCCGAUUCCUCCUCUGCCGGAUGCUCAAGUGGAUAAUGAUGGAGCUUCAGUUGAACAGAGUACUUCUAACGCUAAGAGUGGUGAGAACGUUGCCAUGAAUGAGGGAGCUGUUGACAAGGUUGAUUCGUCCAAAUUAGAUGGUCAAGACAAUACCAAUGGUAGCAUGGAUGUUGAUGCUGGUAGCCAGGAAGAGGGAAACAAUGUUCCUGCCGCUCCUGAUGCUACAAUUGUAGAUGUAGGGAACACACCUGUAUCUUCAGAUCAAGCUGUCUCGAAUGAAGAGAGUGACGUGGUCCCUGAAUGA